CGCAUAGUGGUGUAGUGGUUAGUAUGUUUGCCUUGCAACUUUGGAGUUUGGGGUUCAAAUCCCACCUUUGCCC
Ameiurus melas (black bullhead) is the source of this 73-nucleotide non-coding RNA. NCBI's taxonomy places the organism in Eukaryota, Metazoa, Chordata, Actinopteri, Siluriformes, Ictaluridae. The record is from the annotation of a GenBank genome assembly.